This 21-nucleotide non-coding RNA is filed under the name Caenorhabditis elegans. The record is from RNAcentral. Lineage: Eukaryota; Metazoa; Nematoda; Chromadorea; Rhabditida; Rhabditidae.
UGUAACAAAUAUCAACCGAAA